GAUGAACGCUGGCGGCGUGCCUAAUACAUGCAAGUUGAGCGAACGGACGAGAAGCUUGCUUCUCUGAUGUUAGCGGCGGACGGGUGAGUAACACGUGGAUAACCUACCUAUAAGACUGGGAUAACUUCGGGAAACCGGAGCUAAUACCGGAUAAUAUUUUGAACCGCAUGGUUCAAAAGUGAAAGACGGUCUUGCUGUCACUUAUAGAUGGAUCCGCGCUGCAUUAGCUAGUUGGUAAGGUAACGGCUUACCAAGGCAACGAUGCAUAGCCGACCUGAGAGGGUGAUCGGCCACACUGGAACUGAGACACGGUCCAGACUCCUACGGGAGGCAGCAGUAGGGAAUCUUCCGCAAUGGGCGAAAGCCUGACGGAGCAACGCCGCGUGAGUGAUGAAGGUCUUCGGAUCGUAAAACUCUGUUAUUAGGGAAGAACAUAUGUGUAAGUAACUGUGCACAUCUUGACGGUACCUAAUCAGAAAGCCACGGCUAACUACGUGCCAGCAGCCGCGGUAAUACGUAGGUGGCAAGCGUUAUCCGGAAUUAUUGGGCGUAAAGCGCGCGUAGGCGGUUUUUUAAGUCUGAUGUGAAAGCCCACGGCUCAACCGUGGAGGGUCAUUGGAAACUGGAAAACUUGAGUGCAGAAGAGGAAAGUGGAAUUCCAUGUGUAGCGGUGAAAUGCGCAGAGAUAUGGAGGAACACCAGUGGCGAAGGCGACUUUCUGGUCUGUAACUGACGCUGAUGUGCGAAAGCGUGGGGAUCAAACAGG
This 766-nucleotide ribosomal RNA is filed under the name Staphylococcus aureus. Its description in RNAcentral is "bacterial SSU rRNA". It matches the Rfam family "Bacterial small subunit ribosomal RNA", at positions 28 to 776 of the family's 1533-position model. The record is from RNAcentral. Lineage: Bacteria; Bacillati; Bacillota; Bacilli; Caryophanales; Staphylococcaceae.